RNAcentral lists this ribosomal RNA (463 nucleotides) under uncultured bacterium. Its description in RNAcentral is "bacterial SSU rRNA". It matches the Rfam family "Bacterial small subunit ribosomal RNA", at positions 29 to 507 of the family's 1533-position model. The record is from RNAcentral.
AGUUAACGUUGGCGGCGUGCCUAACACAUGCAAGUCGAACGCGUCCUAAGGGCAACUUUAGGAUGAGUGGCGAACGGGUGAGUAUCACGUGGGUAAUCUUCCUUCAAGUGGGGAAUAAGCUCUCGAAAGGGAGUCUAAUACCGCAUGACAUUCCGGGACACAAGUCCCGUAAUCAAAGCCGCAAGGCGCUUGAAGAUGAGCCUGCGUCCUAUUAGCUAGUUGGUGGGGUAACGGCCUACCAAGGCUCAGAUGGGUAGCCGGCCUGAGAGGGUGAACGGCCACACUGGGACUGAGACACGGCCCAGACUCCUACGGGAGGCAGCAGUGAGGAAUUUUGCGCAAUGGGGGAAACCCUGACGCAGCGACGCCGCGUGAGCGAUGAAGGCCUUCGGGUCGUAAAGCUCUGUCUAGGGGGAAGGAGGAAGGACGGUACCUCUGGAGGAAGGCCACGGCUAACUACGUG